UCUUAUCGCCUUCAAAUCAUCUAUGUUAUGGUAUUCUUUUUUUUGUUUUUGUAUUUGUGUCCAUUCCUCUGCAAAAUGGUGACAUCUGGUGGACUCCAAGCGUCAUGAACAGGAAAUGGGAAAACAGGAAGCAGGAAAUAGAGUGAUUGUUUGCCGGCCAUGCAGCACCAACACAUUCAACUAAACCAGAGGGCUCAUCACUGAAGAUAUCUUUGUUAAACUCAAGAAAGCAGCGGCUACUGCAUCAAUUACAGCACAGCUCUGUGUGAAGGAAAGAGACGAGGGAGAAGACGAGGAGACAAGGAAAAGGAGACGAUGCAGAUGAAAGACAGGUCAACAUCUUCCACAAAGAGGAAGAUUCAUGUCAAGAACUGUUGUCUUUGGGGCAGAUAUUUCCAAGCUGAGGCCAAAAACCUUAGUGGAUUCAUCACUGCAGGAGAAGGAUCACCACAUCGUAUCUUUUCCUUCGUAUAACCAAACCAUCGUCACGCACACAAGUUGAUCCUGCAAGACGAGCGGCGUCUAAAUAAAAUACUGGACUUUUUCAUACCGGGGAAAAUGCAGAGAAAAGAGGAACUGAAGAUCAGAGGAGCUGAAGACGCAGUUGCAAAAGUGGGAGAGAGUCUUAUGAUCCGAUUCACGACAUGAUGCGGCCGGACACGUUCACCUACGCUUUUUCAGGU
Molecule: long non-coding RNA, 683 nt
Organism: Solea senegalensis (Senegalese sole)
Lineage: Eukaryota; Metazoa; Chordata; Actinopteri; Pleuronectiformes; Soleidae
Exons: 5
Source: RefSeq, a predicted model, not a curated record